GGGGUUGUACAUGCCAUGUGGUGAUCAGCAGAAGCGACAUUUCACACUAGGAUCCUGAGAAGCAGCAUCCUAUAUUAUUUAUUACCGCAUGGUGAUGUGAGAAAUUUACAAGCAUGUUCGGUUUCGAUAAUCAAACAAAUUGAUCGAGGUACUGAUCCACGGUCAUGUAUUUGACAUCGGGGUAGAGCUCCGAAGCUUCCACUCCAAAUGAUGACUCAAUCUCAAAGUUCGUUUGGUCUCCUUUCACAAAGACAGAAUGGGAUAAUGCCAAUAUCAUGUUGUGUGGAACCGCCGCCUCUACAAUAUGAUUGGACAAGCUUUAAAUGUCAGAGAGAACAGAGAGGAUUUCAGGCACUUAAAUCCAAUAGAAAUGCAUCCCUGACCUUGAAUGUUCUUCAGAACCUGUUCCUCUGGAACAUACACCCUCUCUAGGGUCUGCCGNNNNNNNNNNNNNNNNNNNNNNNNNNNNNNNNNNNNNNNNNNNNNNNNNNNNNNNNNNNNNNNNNNNNNNNNNNNNNNNNNNNNNNNNNNNNNNNNNNNNAGGUCCUUGGAUCAUCCACAGCUUUGAUGGUAUAGGUGCCGAUGUCAUCCUCCUUGUUAAACACCGCUACAUAUUGACAGGGAGAGUUUUACAAUUUGGCUAAUAAAUAAAUCACAGAGCCAUCGAUCUUCCUAGGGCUACUUUCGGCUCACAUUGAAGAAGAAUUAUCUUAUCAAACAGAUUCAUUAGACAACAUGCAGACAAAUGCAUUCAUAUGUUCUUUUCCCAAACAAAUACAUAAAGAGAACCUUCGUGAUCUGCCCGCUAGGUGGUAUUAUGCCAAGAUAAACCACAACACAUUCAUAUCACAUAUUAGUCUCUGAAAUUGAAGACUAAUGGAUGUAAGAGUCCCAUUAUCUCCAGACAAGGACGUUACCCUGAAAUUAUCAAGCUUCAAGAAUUGCCUCUCACUUUGAUCACUACUGUAAUUAAUUCGUUGUUAAUGUACAAAAAAAAUAUUAACUAAUUAAAAUGCGCAUUUCAAUGAAUUGCUUCUUACCUUUUGCAUUUCCAUCCCCUAAGAUGACAACUUUAUCUCUAGGGGGAGCUGUAGCCUCGGGCUGUGACAAUGUUGGAAGGUAGUAACUUCCAAAAGAGUUAGAAGCCACAUAUGUAUAAGGGAUUCCCUCAGCCUCAACAAGGCGGCGGAUCUUGGCUUUGAUAGCAUAUCCAGUUUUUGCUGGCUCCACAGCAUGGACACGAUCCACAUCAGUUCCAAACUCUGAAGGCAAGAAUCUCUAAAUAGAAAAUUAAUUGAUUCAGAAGAGGCAUUUUUAUUAGAAAGCAACAAAAAACUAGAGUGCAUUCCCCUCAUCCAACAAAUUUACAUGAGUUAUGGCAAAAAGAGAAACCAAAUUUAUAUGAGACUGAAUUUCACUUUUUUCUUCAAUAUGUGACUAGAACAUAGUGACAAUAAAAACAAACAAACUUAUAUGAGACUAUAUUUCAUUUUUUUUUUCAAUAUGUGACUAUAACAGAGUAAAAAUUAUUAUAAAUGAAUCAAUACUAGCAAUUAAGGUGUUGUUAGGUAAUGCUCCGGGAAACUUUUUUUUUGGUUUUUUUUUUCCUAGGCACAAAAUUAGAACAGAAACGCAUUUGGUAAUUUUUUAUUCCUAGGAACAAAUUAAAAAAAAACAAAACAAAUAAUAAUUAUUUUUUGUUUGUCUUUUUUGUUUUUAGGAACAAGUUAAGAAACAAGCAUUUUCUCUUUUCUUUUCUUCUUUUUCUUUUCCUCUCUUCUUCUCCUUAGCCGGUAGUUGGCCUUGGCAAUGGCUGGCGACUGGCCAAACGAGGCCUGACAACCUCGCCGAACCCUCGCCAGCCCCUGGUGAGGUCACCCCAAGCUCAUCGAUUGCUAGCGAGGCCCCCCUUAACCUUGCCCAACCACUGUGAGGUUGGCAAUGCCUAGGUGGGCAAUGCCGACCUUGUGGUGGUCGAGCGAGGUUGAGCCUCGCAGGUCGCCUCGUCAGUCGCCGGCCAACCAUGGUCAAGGCCGACAAUUGACUAGAGGAAGGAAAUGAAAAGGAAAAAAAGAAAAAUGUAAUAAAAUUAUUAAUAAAUNNNNNNNNNNNNNNNNNNNNNNNNNNNNNNNNNNNNNNNNNNNNNNNNNNNNNNNNNNNNNNNNNNNNNNNNNNNNNNNNNNNNNNNNNNNNNNNNNNNNUAGUGAAAUCCAGCCAGUGGGCUGUCAGUGAAGAAGAGUGGAUGUAGGUUUGGAACAAGCCGAACCACUAUAAACCUCGUGUUGAAUUUUCUCUUUCCUACUCCUUUUACUUUGUCAACAGUUCGUUCUAUUAACAAAAGAGGAGUCUUCUUUUUAUUGUCUGCCUAGUAUUGCUUUCAUAUCUCGGAAAAUUAUUUAUAUACCUAUUCACCCCCCUCUAGGUACUUAUACUAGCUAUAUCAAUUGGUAUCAGAGCCCGUGUACUCAUUUUUUUUUUGAAGUGUUUUACUUCAGAGUUAAAGAUCCAUGGCUAGUAUGCUAGCUCCAAGGCUGGUGGAAGGGCAAAGCAAUACCAGACCACCCUACUUUGAUGGAAAGGAUUACAACAUCUUGAAAAACAAGAUGAAAGCAUUCCUACGAUCAAAGGAUCCUCUGGAAUGGGACGUUGUAGAAAAAAGGAAUUACUCCUAAAGCUGCAUCUGUCUCAGAGAGAGGAAAAGAAAUUGUUGAGUCAAGAGAAAUGACUCGAGAAGAGAUAAUCAAGAGACAAGCACUCGAUGCAAAAGCAAUUUAUUCUUUAUAUUGUGCUUUGUCACCAAUUGAAUAUAACAUAAUAUCUUCUUGUGUUACAGCAAAAGAAGUCUGGGAUAAAUUACAUAUCACCUAUGAAGGAACAGAUCGAGUGAAGGAGACCAGAAUCAACAUUCUCCUCGGUCAAUAUGAAGCCUUCAAAAUGAAAUCAGGAGAAUCUAUAAUUGACAUGUUUAGCCGUUUUACAGAUAUCGUCAAUGGUCUUGAAAAUCAAGGUCAACCAAUUUCUAAUCCCAUGAAGGUAAACAAGUUACUGCGAGGACUCUCCAAGGAUUGGAAUCAUAUAAAGACUUCAAUAAGAGAGACACAAAGAAUCAUGCCACUAUCUGUCAAUGAGUUGGUUGGAACUCUUCAGUCUUAUGAAGUGGAGCGAAUCAAUGAAGAUGAAGAUCCUAAAGGUAAGAAAUCCAUUGCAUUAAAAUCCAAUGAUGAUUCUGAUGUUACAGAUUCUGAAGACGAUAUGGACGAUGAGGAACUUGCUCUUAUGAUAAGAAGAUUCAGAAAGCUGAACAGAAAAGGAAGAAGAUUCAAUCCAAGGAAACAAAGCUUUCAAAAGCAACAAACCAAGUCUGUUGAUGAUGAUGAAUCAAACAAAGAUGUAGUCUACUUUGAAUGUAAGAAAAAUGGACACAUCAGACCCAACUGUCCCCUUUUGAGAAAGAAGAAAGGAAAAGCUGAAAAAUAUCGAAAAGCUCUUAAAGCAGAAACUUGGAGUGACACAGAGUGUGAAGAAAGCGAUGAUGAUUAUGCCAACAUAUGUCUGAUGGCACAAUCAGACUCGGAUUCAAACUCUGAAACAGACUCAGACUUAGACAGUGAAAUAGGAGAAGAGAGUGUUUCAUGCUCUUCUGCCUCUUGAUCUGCUCUCUCUUCUUCUUCUUCGAACCUCUCCUCCUCUGUUCUUUCUUCAGCUCUUCUCUCUUCUUCUUCUUUUUCCUCUACUUCUUGCUCCUCUGCUUCUCUUUCUCCUUCUUCUCUCUCUUCUUCUCCUCUUUCUUCUUCUUCUUUCUCUUCUUCUUCUCUUGCUUCUUCUCUCUCUCCUUCUCUUUCUUUCGCCAGUUCUUCUCUUUCCUCUGCUUCCUUCUCUUGUCGUUCCAUUGAUUCUGGAACAGAACAACUUAGCUUUUUCAAGGCUAUAGCAGAAAUGGUGAGAUCAUCCUCAUCAUCCUCAUCCUCAAUGAAGAGAGCCCUUCUCUUUUUGGAUGAAGCAACCAUUGGCUCCUUCCCUUUUCUUUUCGAGCCAGAAGGACCAUGAUGAGUUUUGACAGGGGUUUUCUCCUUGAACUUCUCCAAUGCCUUGUUAAGUUCUUUCAGACGCAUUUUCUGCACCAUUUUCAGUCCUACCACCAUUUGGUCACACGGUCAAACACAGAGAAAUUGUGGAGGCUGAAUAUUCAAGUGUCUGAAUAUUUUUGUCACAAGACCUUGAUAAGGAAGUUGUCCCUUGUCCUUCACCAGUGCUCUAUACAUGUGGAAUAGAAUGGUGUGAGGAAGAGAAAACUUUUUCCCAGCAUUGAUUGCGUACAUCAACUUUGCCUCUGAGUUGGAAACAUCAGUCUUGGAAGUUGAUUUGGGUCUAAGGUAAUUGAUCACAAUCUUGUGAAGAAUGAUGUUGUUCGCACGCAUCCUUGAGUAGGUAAUCCUUCCCUCUGUCAUUCUGUCUUUGACAAGUUCCAAUGUUGUGCGAGCAAUAGAGGCAUUGAUUGGUUGAUACCUUCCUCUUUCAACCCCAAUCACAUCCGCCAGCAUAUUCACAUCAACAACAAAGUCUUGAUCUCGGACACUAAAAGAUAUUCUAUUCGCAUCCAAGAAACUAAGAUUUGAAUAGAAAUAUGCAGUCAAUUGUGCAUAACCCUCUGUGGUGUCAGUACAGAACUGUUCCAAUUGAAGAGAAUUGAACUUUUCUCUUAAGUUCACAUUCACAGCAUCUAGGAAGUCAAAAUCUACACUCCUAGGGUUUAUCACCCCACGCUUCAACAAUCUUGAGUAUAGAUCCUUAUGUUCCUUCGAUGUAAACAAAUCUAUCAUUUUCCCUCGAAUAUUCGCUGCAACACCCAUUCUCGAUUGAAAUUGGCUGUACAGUUUAUCAUCAUCAUUCCCAUAUGUUGGAUUAAAACCACCGACACGCGGAUCACUUGGAAUGUUCGCAAGGGCUUGUUCUGCCAUCCCUCUUGGAGCAAUUCCCAAGUUUUCCAUUUUUCGCAAGAAUAUGUACUCAUUUCCAUGUCCCUUAUCCUUAAGGAACUCAUCGAUGUAUUUCAAUGGAGUACCAGUACUCUUUAAAGCACGAUAAAGCUUAUAAAUAAAGCCGGGCUUUUGAAUUCUUACAGGUUCGACGUCUUCAAUGAUUUCUUCUUCCUGUUGAUGACCCACACCCUGUGGACUAGAUGGUGGAGAAUGACGCGGUUGAGAAUGUUGCGGACUUGGUGAAUCUUCUUCCCCUGUAAGAUCAAAAUAAGUAGGCCCCUCACUCGAUCGCUGUGGUCCCCUGCUUGCUAUCCUCGAAGACUUUCUUGAAGACGACAUCUUUCUUUGUCUUUGAAAGAUUCUUUGCUUGACUUUCCCAAGAAAAAUGACAACUUUUUCGAAGAUUAAACAAUGGAGGAAGGCACGAAUGGAAGAUUGAGACUUUUUAGGGUUUUGGAGUUUUGCAGAGAGGAAUCGAUUGUAAAUAACCAAGCCAAGAAACCAAACGUCAUAAAGGAAAGUGAAAAAGUGCCUUUUUUAAACUUAACUGCCUUAAAAAAAAAACUUCCAUAGAAAUUGAAUUUUUGAAAAGGCAAAUUUGCACUUUUCACGGAAAUUUAAAAUCAAUUACCAAUGAUCGUACCUUUUCGAGAUAUAAUAAAUAAGAGAGAAUAACUUACAGUCAAGACCCACGAUUUAUUGAGUCUGAGAGUCUAAGAGUCUGAGAGUCUGAGAGUCUCUAGACUUUAACUUCUUCAAGCUUAAAGAUGUUGAGACUAGAACGGAUGAAUUCAAAUUGAUUUUUCUCCAGAGGCUUUGUGAAUAUAUCCGCCAGUUGGUUCUUUGAGUCAACAAACUGAAUCGAAAUUUCUCCAUUUUGAACAUAAUCUCUAAUGAAGUGAUGUCGAAUCUCUAUAUGUUUUGCUCUUGAAUGAAGAAUAGGAUUUUUGGUAAGAUUGAUUGCGCUGGUGUUGUCACAGUUAAUUUCGGUGCAUGAAUCUUCAAUUCCAAAGUCUCUUAGCUGUUGUUUUAUCCACAAAAUUUGUGAACAACAACUUCCGAGAGCUACAUACUCUACUUCUACUAUAGAAAGAGCUACUGUACUUUGCUUUCUUGAAAACCAAGAUACUGUUCUGUUUCCAAGUAACGGACAGGUACCCGAUGUGCUCUUUCUAUCAACUCUGCAACAGGCUAGAUCUGCGUUUGAGUAUCAAAGAAGAGUGAAGUCUCCCUUUUUGGGAUACCACAGACCGAUACUUGAGGUUGAAGCAAUGUAUUUGAUAAUACGCUUCGCAGCACUUAGAUGAGAUUCUUUAGGGUCUGCUUGAAAUCUAGCACAAAUGCAAACAAUAAACAAAAUGUCAAGUCUAGAAGCAGUAAGAUAAAGAAGUGAACCGAUGAUACUUCUAUAUAGCUUCUGGUCAACUUUCUUUCCUCCUUCAUCUUUGUCUAUCUUCAAGGAACUUGACAUUGGUAUAUCAAUCUUUUUGCAAUUUUCCAGUCCAAACUUCUUGACAAGAUCAUUAGCAUAUUUUUCUUGAUAAAUAAAAGUUCCUUCCUUCAAUCGUUUCACUUGAAGUCCAAGAAAGAAGGUUAAUUCUCCCAUCAUACUCAUUUCAAAUUCAUCCAGCAUAGACUUAGAGAAUUUCUUGCACAGACUUUCAUUAGAGGAUCCAAAAAUAAUAUCAUCAACAUAUAUUUGAACUAGCAAGAAACUUUUGCUUUCUCUUUUGAUAAAUAGAGUAGUAUCUACUUUACCUUUGACAAAGCCGGUUUGAAUCAAAAACUUACUUAGCCUGUCAUACCAAGCUCGAGGUGCUUGCUUUAAUCCAUACAAGGCCUUUUUCAGUCUGAAUACUGAGUCUGGCUUCUUUGGAUCUUCAAACCCAGGUGGCUGUUCCACAUAGACUUCCUCAUGGAUAAAUCCAUUUAGGAAAGCACUUUUGACGUCCAUUUGGAAUAACCUGAAAUUUUUAUAACAAGCAAAAGCAAGUAGUAAUCGAAUUGCUUCUAACCUUGCUACUGGUGUGUAAGUCUCAUCGUAGUCUAUCCCUUCCUCUUGAGUAUAUCCCUUGGCCAUGAGUCUUGUUUUGUUUCUUACAACUUUGCCAUUCUCGUUCAUCUUGUUCUUGAAAACCCAUUUAGCUCCAACAAUAGAUUUACCUUUUGGUUUAGGAGUCAAUUCCCAGACAUCAUUAAUGCUGAAUUGUCUGAGUUCUUCUUACAUAGCUUCAAUCCAGCUUUCAUCAGAUAAAGCUUCUUCUAUGCUUUUGGGUUCUACUUCAGAAAUAAGAGCCACAUCAUUAGACUUUUCGCGCCUUUUGGAUCUUGUGCGAAUUCCUUCAUUAAUGUCGCCAAUAAUAAGAUCUUUGGGAUGACUGGACUUAUGCUUCCAGUUACUGGUUGGUUCGUCAGGUUGAUGAGCACUUCCUUCAAUUGAAUCUUCAAUAACCGUUUGUUGCUGGUCUUUCAGAGUCUGGUCUGCUUCUUGAGAUUUAGACUUUGUAGAGUCUGGAGCAAGUUCAGAUUCUUCGAGAUGAGUCUGAAUAGAUUCAUUUUGCAUAGAAUCCUAGAACUUGAUAUUCAUUGAUUCUUCCACAGAUUGACUUUUCUUGUUAUAGACUCUGUAGGCUUUGCUUGAGGUAGAAUAUCCAAGGAAGAUGCCUUCGUCUGAUUUUUCUUCAAACUUACCAACUCGAUCAUUUGCAUUUUUCAAUAUAAAGCAUUUGCAUCCAAAUAUAUGAAAAUAUGAAACAAUAGACUUUUUUCCUUUGAAUAAUUCAUAGGGGGUUUUAUUUAGAAUCGGCCUUAGAAAAACUCUAUUGAUAAUAUAACAUGCUGUUGAAACAGCUUCAGCCCAAAAUCGUGAAGAGACGUUACUUUCAAUUAGGAGAGUUCUAGCCAUUUCUUGAAGAGAUCUAUUCUUUCUUUCCACAACUCCAUUUUGCUCUGGAGUCUAUGGAGAGGAAAACACAUGCUGAAAACCCGAUUCAUCACAAAAUUUUGUAAAUUCUUGAUUUUCAAAUUCGCCUCCAUGGUCUGUUCUUAUACUAGAGAUAGCAUAUCCUUUUUCAUUUUGAACUCUUUUAGCAAACUUUUCAAAAUAAGAAAAGGUUUCAGACUUACUUGCCAGGAAGUAUACCCAAGUAAAUCGAGAGUAGUCAUCCACAAUUACAAGGCAAUACUUCUUACCUCCAAUGCUUUGAGUUCUGGUUGGUCCAAAGAGAUCCAUAUGCAACAAUUGCAGUACACGAUUAGUGGAAACUUUAUUUAUUGGUUUAAAGGAAUUUCUUACCUGCUUUCCCAAUACGCAUGGUGUGCAUAGAUCAGACUUUUGGUAAGAUAAAUUGCGUAAACCACGAACAAGCUUCUUUGCUGAUAUUUUGGCUAUCUGCUUCGUAUUGAUGUGCCCAAGCUUCCUGUGCCAUAAGCUUGCUUCGUCUUGGAUUGAGAUUAAACAUUGUGAUUCAUCUGGUUUCACAUCCAAGAGGUAGAUAUUUCCAUGUCUUCGACCCAUAAACGACUGAGUAGAGUCUUUAUUGGUUCCUGAACAUAUUCCCUCUUGAAAAUUGAUUUUGAAACCAAUAUCACAGAGCUGGCUGAUACUGAGCAGAUUGUAGUUAAGUCCUUUCACUAGGGAAACAUUGCUUAUCGUGAGGUUCCCAAUCUUUACAGUUCCAAAUCCCACAAUCCUUCCUUUGAUGUUUCCUCCAAAAGAGACUUUUCCACCAUUUACUUGAACGAGCUUUAUGAAGCAAUUUGAAUCUCUUGUCAUGUGUCUUGAGCAUCCACUAUCCAGAUACCAUUUUACAUUUUUCUUGAUAGUGACUUGCAUUUAAAAAUGAGACUCAAGCUUUCUUUGGUACCCAUAUUUUCUUGGGUCCACUGGUGUUAGUAUUAAAUGCAGUAUUUGCCCAUACUUUCUUAACAGGUUUCCAGACCAUAGGACACUCUUUUUCAAAAUGAUCUGCACUAUUGCACUUUGAACAUCUGAGAGCAUUUCGACCUACAGGUUUUACAAACACCUUUUUGAAAUGUUUUCUAUAAGUAUCUCUUGAAGGUCUUUGCUUAAUUCUUUCCUUUACUUUAGGAAAAUCAAUUCAAGGAAUUGUUUCUUCUGUCAUUCCUAAACCGGAUUUAUUGAAAUAGGGUCUUUGUGCAAAAAGAAUUUUUUCAAGUUUCUCAGAUCCUAAUGAAAUUUUUUUUGAAACAUUUGAUAAGUCAUUUUUCAGGAAUGCAUUUUCUUUUAAAAGAUUGACUUCACUUUCUUUAAGAGAAGAAACAUUCAUGUCUAAACAUUCCAGCUUUUCUUUCAAAGCAUUCUCCUGUUGUUUUAUAAUAGAGUUUUCUUUUUUAAGUUCGGAAAUCCUCUUGAGAGAUGUUUUAAGACUAGAACACAGCUCAUCAAUGUAUUUAAAAACUUUAACAGGGAUUUUAAAGUUACUUACCUCUAUUUCACUGUCUGAGUCUGAGUCUGUUUUAGAGUUUGAAUCUGAGUUUGAUUAUGCCAUCAGACAUAUGUUGGCAUAAUCAUCAUCGCUUUCUUCACACUCUGUGUCACUCCAAGUUUCUGCUUUAAGAGCCUUUCGAUAUUUUUUUAGCUUUUCCUUUCUUCUUUCUCAAAAGGGGACAGUUGGGUCUGAUGUGUCCAUUUUUCUUACAUUCAAAGCAGACUACAUCUUUGUUUGAUUCAUCAUCAUCAACAGACUUGGUUUGUUGCUUUUGAAAGCUUUGUUUCCUUGGAUUGAAUCUUCUUCCUUUUCUGUUCAGCUUUCUGAAUCUUCUUAUCAUAAGAGCAAGUUCCUCAUCGUCCAUAUCGUCUUCAGAAUCUGUAACAUCAGAAUCAUCAUUGGAUUUUAAUGCAAUGGAUUUCUUACCUUUAGGAUCUUCAUCUUCAUUGAUUCGCUCCACUUCAUAAGACUAAAGAGUUCCAACCAACUCAUCGACAGAUAGUGGCAUGAUUCUUUGUGUCUCUCUUAUUGAAGUCUUUAUAUGAUUCCAAUCCUUGGAGAGUCCUCGCAGUAACUUGUUUACCUUCAUGGGAUUAGAAAUUGGUUGACCUUGAUUUUCAAGACCAUUGACGAUAUCUGUAAAACGGCUAAACAUGUCAGUUAUAGAUUCUCCUAAUUUCAUUUUGAAGGCUUCAUAUUGACCGAGGAGAAUGUUGAUUCUGGUCUCCUUCACUCGAUCUGUUCCUUUAUAGGUGAUAUGUAAUCUAUCCCAGACUUCUUUUGCUGUAACACAAGAAGAUAUUAUGUUAUAUUCAACUGGUGACAAAGCACAAUAUAAAGAAUAAAUUGCUUUUGCAUCGAGUGCUUGUCUCUUGAUUAUCUCUUCUCGAGUCAUUUCUCUUGACUCAACAGUUUCUUUUCCUCUCUCUGAGACAGAUGCAGCUUUAGGAGUAAUUCCUUUUUCUACAACGUCCCAUUCCAGAGGAUCCUUUGAUCGUAGGAAUGCUUUCAUCUUGUUUUUCCAGAUGUUGUAAUCCUUUCCAUCGAAGUAGGGUGGUCUGGUAUUGCUUUGCCCUUCCACCAGCCCUGGAGCUAGCAUACUAGCCAUGGAUCUUUAACUCUGAAGUAAAACACUUCAAACAAAAUGAGUACACGGGCUCUGAUACCAAUUGAUAUAGCUAGUAUAAGUACCUAGAGGGGGGUGAAUAGGUAUAUAAAUAAUUUUCCGAGAUAUGAAAGCAAUACUAGGCAGACAAUAAAAAGAAGACUCCUCUUUUGUUAAUAGAACGAACUGUUGACAAAGUAAAAGGAGUAAGGAAGAGAAAAUUCAACACGAGGUUUAUAGUGGUUCGGCUUGUUCCAAGCCUAUGUCCACUCUUCUUCACUGACAGCCCACUGACUGGAUUUCACUAUGAACAAAAGAGAUGUUACAGCAAUGCUCUUCCUUGAUUCCACAGUAUGGAUAUUCUACCACACUUCCUCAAGGUAUCUCACAAAAUGAACUCUCUCCUGUAUACAAGAUUUUCGUUCAACUAAUGAAUUGACUACGAAUCAAGGAGCUUCAGACUUUGGAAUUCUUAUAUCGCGCACACACUUCGAACAACUGGAACGUCUUCCUUUUAUACUCCUUUAUGCCAUCAUACCCGUUGGCACUUACCAAAGGAAUUCUUUCAAUCUUCCCAUUGGACAGAAUCAAUUUGGAAGAUCAUUCGAGCUAUUAAAGGAACAUGUCGAUAGCCCAUCAAUCCUGCUCGCCCAUACAAUCAGGAUCUUGGUUUCCAUAAGUAGAACCUUCCGAGAAUACUUCGCCAAUCAUCGGAUCCUUAAUCAAUCUUAAAAGGAAUUCGUUAUGUCACAUCCAGCCAAGAGAUCUUCUCCAGUCGAUAAGGCUGAGUCCACAAAGAAUCACACAGAUCUGGAUAGCCUUACUUCAAUGGAUUAAAAACUGUCAAUGAGAAUAGACUUUAAGUCUUGAAUCUGGUAGUCCGGAAGUCUUCAAACUUAGAAUGGAUGAGUCUGCAGAACUUCAGACUAGACUGAUAGAAACGUUUUGUCAGCUUCAAAAUAUUCCAGAAAGAUUUCUCCAACACUCAUAAUGGCCGUAUCGACUACGAAACGCUGACUUCAGUAUGUCCUCAUUUCUGAUCCUCAGUUGAUGAUACUAUAUCCUCAAGUCGUUCUUAGAAAAUAUCAACAUUCCUUGCAGCUGGUCAAACAAGUCAUUGAUCCUCGACAGUGGAUACUUGUUCUUGAUCGUCACUUGAUUGAGUUGACGAUAGUCGAUGCACAGGCGUAACGAAGCAUCUUUCUUCUUCACAAACAAAACUCGUGCUCCUUAACGUGAUGCACUAGGAUGUAUGAAUCCCUUAUUCAACAAUUCCUGCAUUUGCACCUUUAGCUCUUUCAACUCAUACAACGUCAUACGGUAGGAAGCCUUAGAAAUUAGCUCUGUCCUGAGGGCUAGCUCAAUCACAAACUCAAUCUCUCUCUCUCUAGCAACAGACCUGACAAUUCUUUCGGGAACACGUCUGGAAACUCUUGAACCACUGCGAUAUCUACGAUCUUCAGCUCCUCAACUAUCGUAUCCACGACAAUCACCAAAUAACCUUGACAACCCCCAUCUAAUAAAUGGGUUGCCUCAAGCGAAGAGAUUAAGGUAAUCGAGGGUCCUCCUUGACUCCCAAUAAACUCAAAACUUUCACCCGCUAGCGGGUUAAACUGAAUCGCUUUACGAUAGCAGUCCAUUUUAGCGCGUUGUUUGGUGAGUAUGCCAAUUAUUACAUCGAAAUCAUACAUGGCUAGGACUAUCAAAUCUAUCCUCCAUUCCCGCUCACCAAUCACUAACUUGCAACUAGGACAACCCAUCAUAAACAACACCUUAUCCUUUAAUGGUGUAGAUAUGCUAACCACUGACUCCAACAACUUAGGACUCAAUCCUACCAGCUUAACAAAUUACUCAACUAUAAACGAAUGAGUUGUGUCACGUCCCGAUCCUCGAACGUGUGCCCAUCCCUCACAUGGUCGAUUAAUAGCGAUGUUCCAGGACGCAUCGCUGACCCAUUUCUUUUUAUACGCAUGAGGAAGCAUAAGAUAAUCCCUAGACAAUAAAACAUUUGGAUAGAAAAGUAGGAUUAAAAACUUGAAAUUGGAAACACCCACACACUUAUAUACAUUGCAAUUCAUUAUGCAAAUAUAUACAAGAUCAACUACUAAGUCCGGUCCUACUCAAGCUUGCUCAACAAUGAAGUCUAAAGAUAGGGGUGAGGUUUCAGUCCUUUGCUGAGUCCUCAUCUGGGUUCUUCUCCUGCUCAACGAACUCUCUUCCUUCCACGCUCCCGCUGGAUAGGCUCUAGCAUACUCAGGUGAUACUGGGUCUUCAAGAUCGGGAGUCACCGGGUCAAUCACCUCUCCACCUCUGGGUUCUGCAAUGCUCUCUCCAUACACUACUUCCAAAGCAUACUUAGGCACCUCAAAUUCCGGUAUCAGGCCCACCCUUCGCCUAUUGCUAUAGUAUCGAUACCAUGCCUGGUAUUGAUGGGGCACCUUAUGGGGUUUACCCAUCUCAACCUAGACAAUGGAUUUCACCAUUACGUACUCCAAUCCUUCCACGUGCCUUGGCAUUGGCACAUGGAGCUUCUCUUUGGUGAUUUCCUCCGGUAAACCAAAACCCAUGGGAGGAGGUAGAGGUACUGCCAUUUACGGGCCUGAAAUGGUUAUUCAAUAACCAAUGAGACAACGUCUCAGCGAGUUCUACCCUCUAAGACUCGAUUAGUAAACCAAUACGCUAUCCGGGCCACUUAUACACGCACGGGUCAAAGGACUUACCUUGGCCUUAGAUUCCAUAUACAAAUCAGCACAGUUCAAUAGGCACCCAAUCAUAAUAUCACAGAUCGAUAUCUCGAUCAAUCGACCUAAUCGAUUACAUGUCAAUCGGACCAUUCACCAGUCGUUUCCAUCCAUACUAUGCAAUUUAUAAGAUAGUAUACCUAGUCGCCAAGCCACGUGCAUUCUCUAAGGUAUCAUAUAUGCCAAGGCGAUGUACUUAAUCACAGAGCCACGUGCAUUCUCUAAGGUGCCAUAUCACCAAGGCGACGUACUAAUCACUGAGCCCCGUGCAUUCUCUAAGGCGACUUAUACGCCAAGGCGAUGUACUAAUUAUCAAGCCACGUGGAUUCUCUAAGGUGAUAUACCAAAUUACUGAGCUACGUCACACAGCAUUUCUUCUCAUCUUUUAUCAUACCUGAUAAAAUAUCGUACGUGGGCACACGGUUGGCCUUAGGCAAAAAUAUAAUAUUUUCAUUUCCAUAACUUCCACAUUUUCUGCAAUCUACUAAAACAUUUUUGGCAUUAUCAACCGAUGCCUGGUUAAUUUUUCAGUUAAUAACCAACAUUAUUCGAUUUAGGAAAUACAUCAUGAAUUCACAAAUAAUUCAUUUCAGCACAAAAUAAAGCUCAAUUAAAUAAACAGACUACGCCACGACAAUUAGCAUAAAAUUAUGAUCGUUGACUAUCCCUGCCUAAUUUUCGAAAAUUAAAUAAUUAAAUAAUUAAUUUCGAAAAUUAAUAAAUAAAUACUAAAAAUCCAAUUUAUACUCGUAAUGCCUAAUUGGACGCCAGAACAGAUCGGGAAAAAAUCCUGAGAUACAUUCAAUAAAUACAAGUACAUCUCUACUUGCUAAUUACACGAAUCAAACACCUAACAUGCAUCAUUAAGUCACUAAUUAAAUUAUUCUAAACUAAUCUAACCACCUAAUCAUGCUUAAUUAACGCUAAUCAACCACUAAGCAUCAUUAGCAAUUAAACAAUGAUUAUUGAGCUAAACUCACCCGUUUAACAAUCCGUUCGGAUUGAAACGUCGGGAACGUCCCAAUGGACGUUUAACUCCAAAGCGGGCCUCGGGUUUGGGGCCCGUAAACACCUCAAAGUGGCCUUAGAACCUUGCUGGAAACCCACUAGCUGAGUUGUUGGUCUUGGCGGCGAAGGGCAGCUCCGGUUGAGUUCCUCAGGUCACAGCACAGUGGCUGGACGGCGAGGGGAGGUGAGUAAGGUGGACGGCGUGCGUGGCUUGGCGCGGGUGGAGGCGGAGCGGCAACCAAUGGUGGCACGGCUACUGGCGGCUUAGCAUGCAAUGGCUGGACGACGUGGCUGCUCCUUCCGCUGGCUUCUGCUAGCGUCUUCCUUGCUGGUUGGGGGUGUUGCACGAAGCAAGAGGGAGAGGAGAGAGAUAUGGACAGUGGAGUGAGUGAGAGAGAGAGAGAGGAUAAAGGAGAGAUGGAAGGUCCCUUGGCCAAUAUUUUCCACACCCUUGUCCCCUACAAGCUUGUCCACCAAGCCAGCCCUCCAUGGCUGUCAAUUGGCCACCAAGGCACUCCCCCACAACUUGUCAAAUGGUCCAAAAAUGCUAGGGGGAAUGGGGCACACGAAUUUGACAUCAUUUGGCUUUAAUUGGAUUCCUCAACUUACUUAAUUUAAUCUCAAUUGGCCAUAGUAAAUUCAAUUGAUGCCUCAUUGAUCCUCUUAGAAUUUUUCCUCACCCACAUAUCCAUCUUGCUUCCCAUUUUUGCAACAAAAAUUAAUCCCCAGCCUUUUCUGCACAAAACAGUCAUAAAUUAACUUUUUCCCAAAAAACAUCGGUUGUCAGAAAAAUCUUCUGAGACUGAGUCGUGAAUCCUAGAAUUUAUUGUGACAUGACAGAAUCUUCAAUUUCUGAAAUUGGACUUGAAUUGGUAGUUAAUUUCCAUUCGGCGCGUUUUUAGCAUGAUCUAGACUACUUAGUAGUUUUCAUAACUUUUUAGAGCAAAUGACCCCUGGUCGAUUUUCUUUAAGCCAUUAUGAAUCCACUCAACUCAAUGGCAACUCUCAAUUGUUGUGAAAAUCUCGAGGAUUCAAUUAUCGACACAGAGUACCAAAACGACACUAAAAUCAGAUUAGUACUGGUUGACGAGAAUUUUCCAAUUUAGUGGAGUCACCCAUGAUCAGCCACACAUCUUAGUCGAACAGACCUACCUCUGAUCUCAAAUCGAUUUUUAACUGUGCCGUAAUGACCUCUAAAGAUAAGCACGGUCGAAAAGCCGAUUCCUAGUUGAAUUCUCAAGUCUAUUUGCUUUAAAGUCCUUAAUAGCUUCCCCAGACAGUCAAGUUAUCUCGAGAGUGAUCAGCUCUGAGAACAAUCCUAUAGGCACGUCAAUGAAAUGCUCGAUUAAUUCAGUAGAAAAUAGGGUUGGAAAUAUGGGAUGUCACAAGUUGCACCAGGGUCAAAUAAAGCAUAAGUAGCGUUGUUGUUCAAUGAGACCGUACCUGUGAUCACAUCAGGAGAGUCCUCUGCUUGUCCUCUGGUGAUGGCGUAUAGCCUUCCCUGUGCUGGAGGCCUAUUCUAUCCACCCUAUUAUGCAAUUUGUGGCGCGAACCCUCUAUUCUAACCUAUCGGUGGCGACGGCAGCAACUAUUAUGGUCCCAUCUGUCUUCUGAGACAAUCUCUAACUUAGUGGCCUUGCUGGCCACACCCAUAACAAGCACCCGGCCUAGAAUGGCACGGGGCCGAUCCAUGUCGCCUUCAACAGAAGCAACACACGUCCAUCUGACUCGGCGCUAACUUACCUACUCCACCUUUCCUGUUAGGUGGGACAGGGAAUCUUCCUCCUGUCAUAGGUCUCUUCUCAAACCUAUUUCCAUCUCUAUUUGAACUAAACCGCGACCCAGAUGUAGCGGCUUAUUCGUUCAGAUUCCUUUCUAUUAGCUAGGCUCGACCGUACAGCUCAUUGUAAUCCUUCAGGUCGAAUGGCACCAGCGGAUUCUUCAGCUCUAGUCAAAGGCUAUUUCUGAACCUCUAAGCUCUAUCUUCCAGAUCCUUCACCAGUCUAGGAGCGUAUUGCGAUAGCUCCGCAAACUUAGCUUCAUACUGAUCCACUAUUAGCAUGCCUUGACGGAGGUGUUGGGAUUCCUCCAUCUUCUACUCUCGGGCACUAUUAGAAAGAUACUUGCUAGUGAAGGCUCUCAGGAGGGCGUUCUACACCGGAACCUCACCUUCAGGGACUACUCUGGCUCUAGUGGCCCUCUACUAGGUACUCGAAUUACCCUGCAGUUGAUACACUGCUAGGUACUAGUGCUGGCCUGAGCCAAUGCUUAACCACAACCACCUCGAGUACCGACUCUUGUCGGCAUCCUACCCCGAGUUAUUGGUCCCAUGGUCCUCUUCCUAGGAGUCAUCUGCUCCUAAUCACUCAUUAUGCAAGUUCUUUACAGAAACCUGAUUUCCAAUUCUACACAGAAUUAGAAGCUGAGCGAUCACACCAAACAAGCUACUAAACAACUAUCACUCAUAUGCAUCAGCAUAAAAUAAAAGCCGUUCCUACGAACUAUCCCAUGAACCCUCGCACCUUAUCACUCCAACUAUCGACCAGCUCUGGUACCACUCCGGGCGGGGAUGUCACACCCCGGAGCUUCGAGCGCACACACAUCUCUCGUUGGUCAAUGAAAUUGCGACGUCCCAGGACGCGUCGCCAACCCAUUUAUUUUAUUGUACAUACGGAAACGAAUAAAACAAACCCCUGAUAGCAAAUAGCAUGAGAUGGAAAAGCAAAAUAACAAAUUCACAACCAAAACACACUUUUAUACACAAACUAAGUUAUAUACAAAACUAGUCUGUCUACCAAAAAGAUCAUCCCUCAAAAAGGAAACUAUCCUACAGUCCACUAGUCGGAUGCGUUUACCGAUCCUUCGGACUCCACAAGCUUCGAGGGUGUCGAGUCCACCACAGCACCAUCAAGAGGGUCGGUUGUACCCUCACCAAAAGCGGCGUCGACUACCACAGUGGGGACCUCAAAUCCCUGGAGGGGACCAACUCUGUAUCCAUUGAGCCCGCGGCAAAACCAUGCCCUAAAUCGAUGAGGUACCCUUUGAGGUAGGCCCUCAUCGACCUAGACAGUGGUCACUACGAGCUCAUAGACCUAGACCCCGUGGCCUCUGGGAACAGGGUAGUUAGUAACUAGCUCGGUAACCUUCCGAGGCUACCCAUAGCGUACCGGUGGGGCCGCCAUCUAAGGACCUAAAAAGAAUUGAGCCCACAAUGAGAUGAGAAAAUGUCUCAACAAGUUCAACCCCUAAACUCUAACUAUAAAUGAAAUACGCCUAGCCACACAAUCACACAACCAUAGAGACUCACCUUGUCUCAGAUUCUCCUUGCAAAUUAGCACAGUUCAAAUACACAAUCAUAUGCAGUAAUCAAACUCAAUCAAUUGGAACGCCACCACUUUCAUCUCAAUAAACACAAGGGUCCCGAUUAUAAAGCCAAAUCGUUAUGACACGUCCCAUACCGUGCCACACAAUUUUGUCCUAUAAUCAGGCGUGUCAAAUCAAUCAAUCAUGUUUCUCAAUUGAUUACAACCCAAUUGCCACGGCCGACUCAACAGUUAGUGGUCUUUCGGCGUAGCCAGGCGUCGUCUCGCACCAUCGACCAUGGCAACGUCUACAUCUAGACGGAAUUCCACAUAGGAGCAUUGGUCUAGCCUCCACUGCGACUGACAUCCGUUGACCUAGGGCAUUCCCGAAGGAGCAUCGCCCGGUCCCAAAGGCUCGUGAUGGGUUCUCAUAUAAUUCAUGCACCCAUCUAAUCCUAGCCAAGACAUCGUGCUUUGCAUUCAAAUGUCCUAAUUAAAAUAAUGUACUUAGCAUAUUUUCUUCCUAUUAAAAACACACGGUAAAAUAAACGUGCGUGGUUACACAGUCAAUUUGAACCAAAAAAACUUAUACCCUUCUUUUUAAAAUCCCAUUAUUUGGUAUAGUAUUUAAAAUUAUUUUCGGUGUCAAAAUCCGACACUCGGAAUUUUAUAAUUAAAUAUCGAAAUUUCACAAUUUUUGAAUAAAUAAUCAAAUUUCCAAUCACCACUCAAUUUGCAUAAAUUAACACUCAAUUGCAUAAACUAAGCACGCCAUUGCAAUUAGCACGAAAUUCCAGUCACCGGCUAUCCCAGUGUAAUUUCCAAAAAAUAUUAAAUAAUUAAAUAAAUUGGAAAAAAAAUUAAUUAAACCAAUUGAAAUACCAUAAAUACCAACUUAGGCCGAAAAUACUAAUCUAACCACCUGAACGGGCCUAGAAAAUUUUCGAACCUAACUAGAUAAAUAGUACAAUCUAUCUAGUCUCUAAUUAGUAUAUUCUAACCACCUAACAUGUAUAAUUGAACAAUUAAAUCACUAAUCUAAACUAACUAACCACAUAAUCCUUAAUUUGCUUAAACUAAUUAUCCACUAAGCAUCAUUAACUCCAUAAGCAGAGUUUAACAAGUAAACACACCGGUUUAGCGGGCUAGUGAGUCCACGACGUCGAUGACGCAGAGGUGAGCGAUACUGGAGCCUGCGGCGACACCAAUGGAGGUCCGGACGGGCCUUAAAACGGGCCACAAGCUCUUAGCUAGGGGCUAAGCUUCAGCCACUGCUCGGGGCUACUGGGCUGGAUCGAAGGGGCUAAAACGGCACGAGAUGGGAGGCGGUGGCUACAGUGACUCUAGGUGGUGAUUCCGGCUGACUAGACAGCAACGAACAGCGACUGGACGGCAACCAGGAGGUCUCAACAAUGGCCAGGACACGCGGGGGAUGGCGAACGAGUGGGACGUGAGCUGGGCAGACGGACGGCUCACAGGCGGCGUGCAAGCUCGCGACAAGCAAACGGGUGGCAAGGGGGGCUUUGGCGGCGAUCGACAAGCUAGGGGGAGGGCUUGCCGGUUUCUCUAGUUUUUCUCAAGCUCUAAAACUCUCAACAAUGGAUAAAGUGGGCUCAAGGAGGGAGAUGAAGAUAGCUGUAGCAAGAAGGGGACCCAAUGGCCUCAAAUAUCCAACAAAAUGCUCAUUGCUUGGUCCCCACUUGAUCAGCCCUAUCCUCAGCCAUUUUUCCUUACUCAAACUUCCCCUAGAAGCUUCUCUAAAUGGUUCAAAUGUUGCUGCACCCCCUUGGCUACGAAUUUGGACAAUUCCCUCCAAAUUUCAUUCGAUUCCCAUCCAAUUGAGCUCAAAUUGGAGUCCAAAAAUUCAGUCAAUGUGCCAUCGUCCAUCUCAUGAUUUUUCCUCAUCAAUUGAACCAACUUAAUGGUCAAAAAUGCGACAAAAAAGGCCCUCUAAUUUUCUUGGUCCAAAAUAGCCUUACUUUGAUUUUUUGCCAAAAUCUCGAGUUUGCAGAAAAAUCUUCAAAUGAUGAGUCAAUGUUCCUAAAAUGAAUUGUGAAUGACAGAACUUUCAAUUUCUUAAAUUGGGUUUAAAUUCACCACUAAUUUAAACCAGACACAAUUUUAACAUGAUCUAGCCUACCGAGUAGCUCUUAAAAUUUUUUAGUGCAAUUGACCUGUGAUUGAUUAUUUUCGAGCCACAUUGUGCAUCUUCGACACAUUGACGACUCUCGGUUAUCGUGAAAAUCUCAAGGUUUCAAAUAUGGGCAUAGGAUACAGAAAUAAUAGAAAAAUUGGUCUAGUGCUGUUGACAGAAAUUUUGCAAUCCGGUGGAAUCGCCUACACACUAAUUACAUACCUCUAUCGAAUCGACCUAUCUCCGGUCUCUGAUCGAUUUUGAUAGUGUCGUAUUGACCCUUGCAAAUUAGCAUGGUCGAGUAGUUGAUUUCUGGUCGAAUUCUCAAGUUUAUUGCGUCAAAAUCCUUAACUGCUUCACCAGAUAGACUAGUUAUCUCGUGAGUAAUCAGCUCAGAGAAUAGAACUAUGGGUGCGUCGAUGAAAAGCCAAACUUAUUCAAUUGAAAAUAGAAUUGGAAUUUCGGGAUGUCACAGGACUCCCUCACAAGAGCGAAGGUAGGGUGACUGGAUGUAACACUCACCUCCAUGAUGAACUUUCUGAUGUAUCCAAUGCCUCUUAUCACCAGCACUUUGCUCUUCUCGGCCAUCUCAGAGGGUUCUUUUACGGCGGAGGUGCGAUUCUUCCCGGCAAACUUUCCCUGUCUUGUGCUGCAACUGUUGUUGGCUGUUGGCACGCAUUGAGAUGAAUCGUCCUUUUAUUUUGGUUCCAAAAGAGUAUAAUUGUCUUUUCGGUGAAUUGACUUUCCCACCCCCAUCACCCGUCGCCCGGAAAAUGAGUACACAAAAAAGUGGUCUACGAAAGAGAAGAAAUUUACGGUGGAGAAUGAGUACGUGACGUGAAUUUUUUUUAAAUAACAACUUGACUUACUAAAAGUUGUCUAAAUUUGAUCAAGAAAAUUGAUUAUUGUGUCGACCAAACCUCCAUUGAGAUAGAAAAGAAAUCAAUUGUUCUGAUUUAUGAUUGGCUGCGUGUUCUUUACAAAAUUCAAAAAUGAUAACUCUCCUGUUAAAAACAGAUGUUGUUGACUGUUACUUUCUGACAAAAUAAGCUAUUUAAUCUUUUUUUCAUUAGAUAUUCCUGACUUAUGAUGAGUUUUGGAAAACCGAACCAAACACACACUUAGUUAGACAAUAAUCCACAAUAUAUCAAGUUUUGGAAUAAGAAUUUGGCUCAAGAUUUAUCCAGAUUCAUCGGGCAUGCUUCUUUUUCUUCCCGUUUGUUCCCUCGCAGCCUCUUAGAAUCCCCCAAAACAUUAACGAUGAUUCAAAAUUACGACAAGUUUGACAGUCGGUUUACGCCUAUUUUAACUUGUUAUUCUUUUAGACGAGAAAGAUAACAUGACAUACAAAAAUAGAGAAACCCGUGUCUUUGUGUUAGCUUCGAUUAGCCCAUGAACCCAUAUCAAACUCCAAAACAGAAGCAACUUCUCCAAGCACCGCAGAGACGCGCCACAUUGAACAUUCAUACUUUAUAGUGUCCUCAGACUUGGGGGUUGUACAUGCCAUGUGAUGAUCAGCAGAAGCGACAUUUCACACUAGGAUCCUGAGAAGCAGCAUCCUAUAUUAUUUAUUACCGCACAGUGAUGUGAGAAAUUUACAAGCAUGUUCGGUUUCGAUAAUCAAACAAAUUGAUCGAGGUACUGAUCCACGGUCAUGUAUUUGACAUCGGGGUAGAGCUCUGAAGCUUCCACUCCGAAUGAUGGCUCAAUCUCGAAGUUCGCUUGGUCUCCUUUCACGAAGACAGAAUGGGAUAAUGCCAAUAUCAUGUUGUGUGGAACCGCCGCC
Molecule: long non-coding RNA, 21506 nt
Filed under: Eucalyptus grandis
Lineage: Eukaryota; Viridiplantae; Streptophyta; Magnoliopsida; Myrtales; Myrtaceae
Description: long non-coding RNA (EGRA_LNC000634)
Source: RNAcentral